This 478-nucleotide ribosomal RNA is filed under the name uncultured bacterium. RNAcentral describes it as "bacterial SSU rRNA". It matches the Rfam family "Bacterial small subunit ribosomal RNA", at positions 49 to 541 of the family's 1533-position model. The record is from RNAcentral.
UAACACAUGCAAGUUGAACGAAAUUAUUUAAUAUUUACAAAAAAUGUAAAAUAUAUAAUUGAGUGGCGAACGGGUGAGUAACAUAUCUGAAUAGUAUUUUAAAGAUCGGGAUAUAUUCUAUGAAAAUGGCCAGAAAGACCGAAUAACCAAAGAUUAAUCACUUUAAAAAUUGCAGAUAAGAAAUUACAUCUAAUGGUUGGUGAGACAAAAGCUUAGCCAAACUUAUGAUUUUUAGUUGGUAUGGGAGUACGGCCAACCACGUUGGAACUGAAAUAAGGUUCAAGCUCACACGUUGGGGCAGCAGUGAGGAAUAUUGGGCAAUGGGCGAAAGCUUGACCCAGUGAUAGUUCAGGAGUGAGAAUUGGACAGCAAUAUCGCUGUAAAGCUCUUUUGUUAAGGAAGAUAAUGACGCUACUUAAAGAAUAAGCACUGGCUAAUUCUGUGCCAGCAGCCGCGGUAAGACAGGAAGUGCAGACGU